UAACCUCAGUCACCUGGAGUGUCCUGCCUAAUUUGGAGAUUCCUACGACAGGCAUCCAAGAAGUGACAUUUGCCUGCUAUCCCAUAUGGAUUUAAUUCAUUGUUAUUUUAUACAACUUAGUGCUUACUCUCUGCAGAUUGUAAGCCCUCUAGACCACCAACUGCCACGAAUAAGAUGGCCUCCAGCUUUGGAAAAAUGGCUCCAAAAACCUUUUGAGUGGGCAAGAAAAAUGUUUUCCAAAAUAUUGCCAAAGGUUACAAGAUGUUGGUAUUUUGGUGUUUUUUUCCAAGAUAAACUCAUCGAUAACCUUCCCACAUGACAUUUCACAACUACACCUCAUACUCAGGCUUCUGGGAGCACUUGGCGGAGGGACUCGUUCAUUUGCAAGUACAACUGAUGUCAAUUGGUUGUUCCAGUGAGCAGGGCAGGCUGCCAGCUCCUUCUGCAACAAACUGAUUUUAAUGCCAUUAGAUUCACAUUUCUGCUGCAGUGCAUUAAGUACUUUAUUGCUGAAAUAUGCACAAUGGCACUAAUGAUGGAUUUACUGUUCCCCUGAGGUGUGCAGAUCUGGAAGAGCUAAUUGAGCGUGAACCAUGGGAGAUUAUUUCCAAAAACAGACUUGAGUGAGGAGUUAACCUUAUGAGCCAUCUCUUCCUUGUGGAUGCAUGAUUCCUUGUACUUGUAACUCAAGACUAUGUACACAUCUUCAUGCUAUCUACUCUUAUAGUACUGAGGACUCUGUGGCUGCUAGUAUCACGGGGAAUGAAAGUAUUGCGAAAGCGUUGCCCCUUCAUGUUGUUCCAAAAUAAUGUUCCGAAAUCUAACGCAAGGGCAAGUUCAGUUGUGUCUCGUGGUUUUGAAGAGUCUGCAGAGAGGUUUUGAUCUCCACUAUAUGAAUUAGUAAAGUUCCCUGUAAAUAAACAGCUCUUUGAAGACAA
Pezoporus occidentalis (night parrot) is the source of this 938-nucleotide long non-coding RNA. RefSeq lists it as uncharacterized. The record is from RefSeq and is a predicted model, not a curated record. The transcript has 2 exons. NCBI's taxonomy places the organism in Eukaryota, Metazoa, Chordata, Aves, Psittaciformes, Psittacidae.